UUGUGAAGAACAUUUUUCUCAUUAUGUAUAUACUCUACUAUUAUUAUUAUGUUUUGAAUUUGUUUAACAGAUAAAAACAACGCAUUAAAACCUGACCCGAUUGUCCUCGCCCUGGGUAUAAGCAACGUUCUUCUUGUGGUUUUGCUUGUUUCAUGUGUGACAAAGAAGACCGCUCACUGCUGCCAACGUAAAAGGGAUGGUGAACAGAAAGUUGAUGAAACAUUUGAAAAUGACAAGCCAGAUGGUGCUCAGGAGCAUGGAGUAAAUUAUGCUGCCUUGGAUUUUGGGAAAAGAAAAAACAAAAACAGAGAAAUGAAGAGAGAUUUGGGAAUGGAAACGACUUAUUCAAGCGUUCGAUUACAAUAGUCACAGAGUCAUCACAAUGAAAAGAGAGGAAGGUGCAGAGACCACAUAAUCAACGGUCUUCAUGUACAUAAUAAAGGAAGAUUGUACU
Long non-coding RNA from Polypterus senegalus (gray bichir), 454 nucleotides. RefSeq lists it as uncharacterized. The record is from RefSeq and is a predicted model, not a curated record. NCBI's taxonomy places the organism in Eukaryota, Metazoa, Chordata, Cladistia, Polypteriformes, Polypteridae. The transcript is spliced from 3 exons.